RNAcentral lists this ribosomal RNA (91 nucleotides) under Saccharothrix sp. ST-888. Its description in RNAcentral is "partial 16S ribosomal RNA". It matches the Rfam family "Bacterial small subunit ribosomal RNA", at positions 1 to 91 of the family's 1533-position model. Lineage: Bacteria; Bacillati; Actinomycetota; Actinomycetes; Pseudonocardiales; Pseudonocardiaceae. RNAcentral also lists the same sequence under 1 other name. The record is from RNAcentral.
CAUUCACGGAGAGUUUGAUCCUGGCUCAGGACGAACGCUGGCGGCGUGCUUAACACAUGCAAGUCGAACGGUGAAGCCCUUCGGGGUGGAU